Molecule: long non-coding RNA, 1422 nt
Filed under: Ovis aries (sheep)
Lineage: Eukaryota; Metazoa; Chordata; Mammalia; Artiodactyla; Bovidae
Description: lncRNA (ENSOARG00000026013.1)
Source: RNAcentral
AUGAGCAUUCAGGCACUGGGGUGGGCCAUGGGGGUCGGUGAUCAGCUGGUUCUGCAGGGAGUCCAGGGCCGUCCUCGGACCCCUUUUCUUGAGACCACCUUUUCUUGUCUACCUAGAUCAUCCACUGGUCCUGAUCCUGUUCGUUGCCUUCCAUGUCUUGCAUGUCCUCAUCAUCCUCUGAGUCCUCUUCACUGUCCUCGUCGUCAUCUUCAUCUUCCUCUCCCUCGUCGUCAUACUGCCAGGCCUGAUGCUGCUGUUCUUGCUGCUGCAGCUCUGUCUCCUCCACACAGGGUCGAUCCAAAUUAAACCACAGUGUCUCAGUCACACGGGGGAAGAGUGAGGGGAACAAGGUGGACAUGGCUCCUGCUCCUUCAUUGGGUUUUACACAAACCAGGGCCUGGGCUGAAAGCAGAAGGCAGGAUGGAGAUAGGUAUUUCCCAACAGUCAGAAAUAAAUCCAAAGCCGCAGGCUGGAGUGAUAAGUCCAUGGCUCUAUGCAGAGAAUUCUCCAGGAUCCAGGAUGGUUUAUAGCUGAGUGGUGUGAAUUCACUGCUAGUGAGAGCCGCUUCCAUGGUCCUUGAGGAGUAUGGCUGGCCCGUCUGGAGGUCAGAAGUCUAAAAUCAAGGUUUCAACAGGACUGCAUUCCUUCAGGAAGCUUUAGGAAAAAUCCGUUUCCUUGCUUUUCCAGCCUCCAGAGACUACAUGCAAGGCUGCGCUGGUGGCCUUUUCUUCAUGUCACUCCAACCUCUUGUUUCCAUCUUUAUAUCUUCUAUGGCAAAAUGAACUAUUAUUAUUAGCAGAUGUGAGUUUUCUGGUUCUAGCCCUUGUGUUAGGUAGUUAGACAUUAACAGAAAGGAGGUGACAGAAGCAGAUAAAAACCAGAGGGGAAUAAUCAAGCUAAGCCCCAACCAUCUGGAGACUCUCCUCUGACACUAAGAGGCGAUGGCGGCUAGAGACCAGCGGGGAAUAGUCCAGUUAGGACCCAGCCAUCUGGAAACCUUCCCUCGGUCCCACCCAGGACAGGUGACACUAUGGUCAGGUGGCGGGCAACUGAUCCUGAUAAAGAGGGAGCACUGUGACACAAGAGAGCUUCCCCGGGGUUGCGCAUUCCCAGACUAGACCGGCGGAUAACCUCCAGUAGGUGGCGGUAGUCGUAAAUAACCCUCCUACCAAUGCAGGAGACUUAAGAGACACGGGUUCGAUCCCUGAGUCAGGAAGAUCCCCAGGAGAAAGGAAAUGGCAAUCCACUUCAGUCUUGUAGACUGGAGAAUCCUAUGGACAGAGGAGCCUGGCAGGCUAUGGUCCAUAGGGUCUCAAAGAGUCGGACAUGAAUGAAGUAACUUAACAUGUACAGCAUCCAAACCCAAACUCAUUAUAUCAACACUGUAAACAAAUCUGCAUGUGGUUUUGCCCUCCUCUGGGU